Molecule: long non-coding RNA, 1619 nt
Organism: Homo sapiens (human)
Lineage: Eukaryota; Metazoa; Chordata; Mammalia; Primates; Hominidae
Product: long intergenic non-protein coding RNA 2492
Source: Ensembl
AGGCUACUAUUGAUCUUCUGAUCAUAUGUCAGAAGGAGGAUCAUCUGCUGUGGGUGUUCCUGAUCUUUGAGCCAUGAUAAUGUUACUGGUUGGAUGUCAGGAGCAGGCCAUGUGGAUGAUUAAAAGAUGAAUAUCAUAUACAGCAUGGAUAUGUUGGACAAAAAGAUGAUUCACAUCCCAGACAGAAUGGAGCAGCACAUUUAUUAAAAGCCAGAAGCUAGAAGACGAGGAAAGAAGAGGUGGUUAAAGAAAGAUACAGUAACAGCAGUAAUAUCUAACAGGAAGGCUACAGGGGAAAAUACAGAAAUUCCAUAAAGAACAAACACUGUAACUCAAAACCAAAGCUUUGCUAGUCACUAGUGCCCGCUACAUCCUAACAGAUGCAGCUGGAGAGCCUGGGGUGAGAACAUGAGCAGUCUAUAAUCAGAAAAUCCCUUUGGGAUAAAUUGACAAAAAUAUAAACCACUCCACAAAGGAGAAAUUGUAAAUGAGUUGUUAUGUAAAACCUCCCAGCGAAAGAAAUAGUCCAGAAAGCUUGAAGAGAAACUGAAAUUUGAAAAAUCUACCUAAAAAGGUGAUAAAGGAUUUUCAGUUUUGCAAAAAACGCAAUACAGAGUGUCUUUGGAAAGAAAGUUCUCAUAUGGAUUUAAAAUAUGAUUCAAUUUACAGAAGUCAGAGUUGUUCUUCCAGAUGGCAUGAAUCCAACAGUGAAGAAAUCAGAAUACGUUGCUUUUGUGAGGGGCAGCUGCUGAUUUUCUCUGAGCUCCGUUUCCAGCCUUCACAUGCUCUGCUAUUCAUCACAGGGUAAAUUCUGACUAUAGGAGGUACUGACAGAAGAUUAGGGAAGAACAGAGGGCUAAAUGUUUAUUGACUUCUUGAAAAAUGCUAUGUGUCUUGCCAGACUUAGCUUACAAGUUUGGUUAAAGAGAGACUGACAUGAGCAUAAAGGAAGGGACAUUGAAAGAGGCAGAGAUGAAGGAAGAAAUUGUAACUUACUCCUUUUAUCCCACCCAUCAAAGGAAAGACAAGUUGACAGGUAUCUGCAGUCUUGCCAAUUAGGCCUGCAAAGGAAACAAACAUACGUGUGUUCCAAUCGGAGAAGUCAGAAGUCACUAAUGAUGCAGAAAAGCACAUUCCAAGUUUUGGCAAUGCCAUAUAUGUUAGAAAUUAUACUACAAUGCAGUUAGAAAAUAUAUUUUUUAAAAGUCCAAAAAGAUGAAGGAACUAUUUGGGAUCAGGCUGCAAAGCUCUUUAUUAUCUUUUUGCCACUAUAUAAAUAUGGAAAUUGAAAAUAGUAUUGAUUCUGCAACAAACUGAGAAGAAACCUGGCGAUUCACAACAGAGAGCUGAGAAAUCCUAAGUCUGGAUUCCAGCUAAAUGGGAGCAGACUAAAUAGAGCGGCAGUCGGCGAACUACAUGUAGCCCAUGAACAAAAUCCGGUCCAGCACGUGUGUUUUUUUUUACGGCCCACAAAUGAGUCUGUCUUUACAGAUGAAUGUUAAAACUGGGUUGACAAGAGAGAACACUCACUUUGAACCGCAACUAAACAAAAUAUUAUCACCUUUCCCCUCAAAAAAGGUUUUUGUUCUUCUCAUUAGUAAAUUUGUAUUAUGACAAAA